AGAGUUUGAUCCUGGCUCAGAGCGAACGCUGGCGGCAGGCCUAACACAUGCAAGUCGAACGGACCUUUCGGGGUUAGUGGCGGACGGGUGAGUAACACGUGGGAACGUGCCUUUUGGUUCGGAAUAGCUCCUGGAAACGGGUGGUAAUGCCGAAUGUGCCCUUUGGGGGAAAGAUUUAUCGCCAUUAGAGCGGCCCGCGUCUGAUUAGCUAGUUGGUGAGGUAAAGGCUCACCAAGGCUACGAUCAGUAGCUGGUCUGAGAGGAUGACCAGCCACAUUGGGACUGAGACACGGCCCAAACUCCUACGGGAGGCAGCAGUGGGGAAUCUUGCGCAAUGGGCGAAAGCCUGACGCAGCCAUGCCGCGUGUAUGAUGAAGGUCUUAGGAUUGUAAAAUACUUUCACCGGUGAAGAUAAUGACUGUAGCCGGAGAAGAAGCCCCGGCUAACUUCGUGCCAGCAGCCGCGGUAAUACGAAGGGGGCUAGCGUUGCUCGGAAUUACUGGGCGUAAAGGGAGCGUAGGCGGGACAUUUAAGUCAGGGGUGAAAUCCCAGAGCUCAACUCUGGAACUGCCUUUGAUACUGGGUGUCUUGAGUGUGAGAGAGGUAUGUGGAACUCCGAGUGUAGAGGUGAAAUUCGUAGAUCUUCGGAAGAACACCAGUGGCGAAGGCGACAUACUGGCUCAUUACUGACGCUGAGGCUCGAAAGCGUGGGGAGCAAACAGGAUUAGAUACCCUAGUAGUCC
This 743-nucleotide ribosomal RNA is filed under the name uncultured bacterium. RNAcentral describes it as "bacterial SSU rRNA". It matches the Rfam family "Bacterial small subunit ribosomal RNA", at positions 8 to 796 of the family's 1533-position model. The record is from RNAcentral.